AGAGUUUGAUCCUGGCUCAGAACGAACGUUGGCGGCAUGGAUUAGGCAUGCAAGUCGAACGAAUGCCGGGGUAGCAAUACCUCGGCGGAAGUGGCGAAAGGGGCAGUAAUACAUGAAUAACCUACCCUGGGGUUGGGCAUAGCCGUUCUAACGGACGGGUAAUUCCCAGCGAUUCGGCGGUGCCGGCAUCGGUACACCGGGAAAGAAUUUCGCCUCGGGAGGGGUUCAUGAGCUAUCAGCUAGUUGGCGGGGUAACGGCCCACCAAGGCGUAGACGGCUAGCGGGUGUGAGAGCACGACCCGCGCCACUGGCACUGAGACACUGGCCAGACACCUACGGGUGGCUGCAGUCGAGGAUCUUCGUCAAUGGGCGCAAGCCUGAACGAGCGAUGCCGCGUGAGCGAUGAAGGCCUUCGGGUUGUAAAGCUCAAAAGGGAUGAGAAAGGGAAACUUGAUCGAAUCCCAGUAAGCUCGGGCUAAGUUCGUGCCAGCAGCCGCGGUAAGACGAACCGAGCGAACGUUGUUCGGAAUCACUGGGCUUAAAGGGCGCGUAGGCGGGUUCGCAAGUCUGUGGUGAAAUCCUCCGGCUCAACCGGAGAACUGCCUCGGAUACUGCGGGUCUCGAGGGUGAUAGGGGUAUGCGGAACUAUCGGUGGAGCGGUGAAAUGCGUUGAUAUCUACAGGAACUCCGGUGGCGAAAGCGGCGCGCUGGACCUCUUCUGACGCUGAGGCGCGAAAGCUAGGGGAGCAAACGGGAUUAGAUACCCCGGUAGUCCUAGCCCUAAACGAUGGGUACUAGGUAGUAGACUAGACAUGGGUUUACUGCCCGAAGCUAAAGCGCUAAGUACCCCCCCUGGGGAGUAUGGUCGCAAGGCUAAAACUC
Molecule: ribosomal RNA, 882 nt
Filed under: uncultured bacterium
Lineage: Bacteria
Description: bacterial SSU rRNA
Rfam family: Bacterial small subunit ribosomal RNA
Source: RNAcentral